Molecule: long non-coding RNA, 2139 nt
Filed under: Homo sapiens (human)
Lineage: Eukaryota; Metazoa; Chordata; Mammalia; Primates; Hominidae
Description: HSALNT0284040
Source: RNAcentral
UGAAAUCCAAAGACGGGAUGUAAAUUAAACUGAUCUAUAUAAGCAGGGAGCAACAUUGUAUUCAGCAUCCUUCAUAAACUCCUUGACUUUUUUUCCUACCAGAAAACAUGAUGAUCCUCCCCAACGACUGAAUCAUUUACAUUUUGUAUAUUCAUAGAAGCACAAAACGAAUACUUUCAACUUCUGCAAAUGUGAGACAAAAAGAAAUUUAUUAUUCCAUACAUUUCAAAAAAUGUUUUGAAAGGGAACAUUAUGGUCAUAUAAAUAAUACCGAUGGUGAACAACAGAAUGAAGAAUGACUACUUAAAGCCAAACUAUGCUAAAUCACAACGUCAUAUGCAUAUUUCAUUCAAGCACUGAAGUCAGUAGGUAUGAGGUCAGGAUAAAACGUAACACCAAAUUCAUCAUCUUUCCUUACUUAAGAAUUGCAUUAUAUUUUUAAACCAUUUUAACCAUAAGUGAGUAUCUUUAGAUGAUAAAUAUUUUGAUGACACAGAUAAAGAGGGGGAAAUUUUAAAUAUGAGAGCGUAAUUAAAUGCAUUUAUAAAUUUGAUAUAUACUAAAUACUGUGGUUUUGUAUAUGAUACUAUGUAAUUUCAACACUUUAUGAAUAUAUCUGUUUCAUAAAAUAUUAAUACAUAUUACUGGACCUAAGAAAACAAUCCACACUAGUAAUACUGUCCCAUGAUAUUUAAUUCACUUUUGUAAAUGUUAACAUUAAUAUUUCAUAAUUUUAGUAACUCUCCUAUUAAAAUGCCGAAAUUUAACAGCAUAAAAGACAAUAUACAUACAACUUUUUUUCAAUAUCUAAAGAUACUGAGUUACUUUAAACUCUUACUCAUUGUCUCUUCAGAAUCAAAUGUCUGAAUGAUAAACAUUAAUUGGUAUGGUUAUGGUAGAGGAUGGUGUGGAAGGGAGCAAUAAAGAGAAAAACAGAAGACAAAUCAGGGGUACUUACUAUUAUUAGAUCAUAUACAUUUGAAGAGGGUGAAAAUAAACGAAGUAUUGUGUGAUCAUAAAAAACGAGCUAUUAGGGCAUUACAGUGACUCAUUCUACAAGAGUUAAUCAAAGACCCAAGAAAAAAUUGGAAGGGAUGGAAGGGAAUAUAUGAUUGUCAAUGCACAAAUCUUAUUAAUGCAUAAUGCAAUUGUAAGAAUUCUAUAACAGAAAUUAAUACCAUUUUAUUUUACAACACAGAAGUGCAUGUCUAUCAUUUUCCUAUUUCUAUUAAAAGUAUGGAGUCUUCUUUCCAAGUCUGCAAUAAAUUAUACUGUUACUUUAGAUAUAUUUUGUUAAUUUAUUUAAUUUGGAUCCGAAAAUUUCCAUAAUAAACUACUGCCAGGAUCAUGAUUGAGGAUAAUCUGAUGUGUAAUAAGUUGCUGAGAACCUUUUUAUUUCUAAAUGGUGGUUCUCUACUUUCUUCACUCUACCUGUGUGUUUUUUUUCCUCCCAUCUCUAAAAACAACCAGAGAUAACAGUGAUAUAAAACAGUUAAUGCUCGUUCCAGGAAAGUUCCAAAGCACCAAGUUUCAAUAUAAAUGGUACUUACAAAUUUUCCAUUUUUCCUUAAGCCCUCCCUCCAUGUUUCUUUCAAACAUCAUUUAAAUUUGACUUUUGUUUAAAGUAUUUCCUUUUAUAUGUCCCCAUACUCAAUCUUGAUAUAUAGAUAUCCACAUAUAGAUAUCCAGAUAUAGAUAUCCAUAUCCAUAACUACAUAUCAUAAUUUCCCCUAGACUAUUUUGAUUGUCAGUAUAAAUGCGUUUUUGUGGGGAAAUAAAUGUCCCUCUCUGAUAUACCUUCUCAUGGUCCUUCAGUAUCUUGGAGCAAUAAUCCACUCCUCAUCCCAUUUUUGUUGUAAAUAAAGCUGUGCGACACUGAGGUAAUUGAUUUGGGGUGCCAGUGACAAUUAAAUAGGUAAACGCAUACAGAGUUUAGUUUGGCAACUAUUAAAAUAUCAACACAUUAAGAACUUGCACUCUAAAACGUAGUUACUAUAGUUGUCUCCUAUAAGAAUUCAGAUGUACCAUGGGUCAAAUCAUUUCUCAAAAACUAUAAUAACCACACCCCAAAGAAGGCUAGAUGUGACAUGAUAAGCUAGAAAAAACUCUUGUUAUUGCAGUCUCUUAAGUCUGUCCAAA